Molecule: ribosomal RNA, 274 nt
Filed under: uncultured bacterium
Lineage: Bacteria
Description: partial 16S ribosomal RNA
Rfam family: Bacterial small subunit ribosomal RNA
Source: RNAcentral
AUACGAAGGGGGCAAGCGUUGUUCGGAAUAACUGGGCGUAAAGCGCACGUAGGCGGAAUGUUAAGUUAGAGGUGAAAUCCCAGGGCUCAACCCUGGAACUGCCUUUAAUACUGGCAAUCUAGAGACCGAGAGAGGUGAGUGGAAUUCCGGGUGUAGAGGUGAAAUUCGUAGAUAUUCGGAGGAACACCAGUGGCGAAGGCGGCUCACUGGCUCGGUACUGACGCUGAGGUGCGAAAGCGUGGGGAGCAAACAGGAUUAGAAACCCUAGUAGUCC